CCACCUAUGUCACAGAAGAGAUGAUCCCAUUAUAGGAGCUAAUUGAAGUUGGCCAUGAGGGAGGAGAACAACUAGUGACAAGGGAGCUAGGAGACCCCACCCUGGACGACACUCCUUUGUGUUACAAACAUCUGUCACGUGAGCAUGAUGAAUGGAAGAUGGCACAGCCCUAGCAGUCAGAAGGUCCAGAUCCAAAUGCUACCCACUCGGUCGUCUUGGUGAGAAAGCAAGAGGGAAGCAAGGUCUGAGGAGAGCAGCAGGGGCCACACCAAGUGAGGCCCUCAGCAGGGUCAGAAAGAGCUCGUGCAAGCUGAGUCAGUCCUGUGUUUUUUCCUGUGAAAUGAUUCACAUGCCGAGGAAAAUCAGUUGCAAUGUGCAAACUCUUCUUUGCCUUUCAUGAGCUUCCGAAUGAGGUGGUGAUUUUUGUUUUUGUUUUUCCCAUUUUGCUUGUCUCUCCUUGGAAACACGAUUGCAGUGUUUUCCAUUCCGGGUUGAGGCUUACCCCACCUCAUUUAAAUGCCCACAGGUGAAAGUGUUAUAUCAAAGAAACUCUGGUCAUUUUAAAUGUUAUUCUUUAAGCUUCCUUGUAUUUUUUACUCAAGUAGGUUAAAUUAUAAAUAAACUAAAUUGCAUAGCAUAUUUUAUGCAAUGAAGCCUGAACUCUUCAGAAAUCAAGCUCUAGAUAUGUGGAUUUUCUAUGUGUUGUAAAAGGUUCAUUAUAAACAUCUAAGACUGUUUUCAAUUGUUUUGAGUGGGAACUCCUAGAAUAUAUAAUGUAUAUGACAUGCUUCUUUAUAAUAAAAUUUAACCUUUCAU
This 816-nucleotide long non-coding RNA is filed under the name Rhinolophus ferrumequinum (greater horseshoe bat). Its description in RNAcentral is "lncRNA (ENSRFEG00010007414.1)". Lineage: Eukaryota; Metazoa; Chordata; Mammalia; Chiroptera; Rhinolophidae. The record is from RNAcentral.